This 253-nucleotide ribosomal RNA is filed under the name uncultured bacterium. RNAcentral's name for it is "partial 16S ribosomal RNA". It matches the Rfam family "Bacterial small subunit ribosomal RNA", at positions 524 to 776 of the family's 1533-position model. The record is from RNAcentral.
UACGUAGGGGGCAAGCGUUGUCCGGAAUCAUUGGGCGUAAAGGGCGUGUAGGCGGCCUGGUAAGUCCGCUGUGAAAGUCCAGGGCUCAACCCUGGAAUGCCGGUGGAAACUGUCAGGCUCGAGUCCGGAAGAGGCGAGUGGAAUUCCUGGUGUAGCGGUGAAAUGCGUAGAUAUCGGAAGGAAGACCAGUGGCGAAGGCGGGUCUCUGGACAGUUCCUGACGCUGAGGCACGAAGGCCAGGGGAGCAAACAGG